GCCACUCUGCAGCCCUGCUCCUCACAGAGAGCUGUGGAGCUUUUUCUCCUCUUCCUACAAUUCUCCUGUUGGAAGUAACAUUUAUAAUAGAGAAAGUCAUGUUGGGGCAGUACAUGAAGGAGAUGCCUCGAGAACAAGAUCCUGUGGGAAUGCAAUGCAAGCCAGAAUAAUAACAAGCACUGUGGAGAGGAAGUAGUCAGAGAGGCAUUAAAGCAACGCUGGUGACUAGAUGCAGCUACUUCAAGCCAGAUCCCCACUCUUCCAUGGAUACCAUAUUAUUGCUGUGUGAUGGACUGCUGAAUGAAUCACCAUUGCAGAGAGCUGCAGGCAAUGCCCCAGCUAUUGCAUUCGUCUUCCUGACAGUGCCAACCAACAAAUUAAAUCCAACACAUGAGUUAUAAA
Molecule: long non-coding RNA, 402 nt
Organism: Pogoniulus pusillus (Red-fronted tinkerbird)
Lineage: Eukaryota; Metazoa; Chordata; Aves; Piciformes; Lybiidae
Exons: 3
Source: RefSeq, a predicted model, not a curated record